RNAcentral lists this ribosomal RNA (669 nucleotides) under Verrucomicrobiota bacterium. RNAcentral describes it as "bacterial SSU rRNA". It matches the Rfam family "Bacterial small subunit ribosomal RNA", at positions 1 to 651 of the family's 1533-position model. Lineage: Bacteria; Pseudomonadati; Verrucomicrobiota. The record is from RNAcentral.
ACGGAGAGUUUGAUUCUGGCUCAGAACGAACGCUGGCGGCGUGGAUAAGACAUGCAAGUCGAGCGAGAUUUUUUCCUGUAGCAAUACAGGGAAAAGUCUAGCGGCGAACGGGUGCUUAACACGUGGGCAAUCUGCCAAGAAGUGGGGGAUAGCUCGCCGAAAGGCGAAUUAAUACCGCAUGUGAUCAGAGUGGACAUCCAUUCGAAAUCAAAGUCGGGGCAACCUGACGCUUUUUGAGGAGCCCGCGGCCUAUCAGCUAGUUGGUGAGGUAACGGCCCACCAAGGCUUAGACGGGUAGCUGGUCUGAGAGGACGACCAGCCACACUGGGACUGAGACACGGCCCAGACACCUACGGGUGGCAGCAGUCGAGAAUUUUUCUCAAUGGGGGAAACCCUGAAGGAGCGACGCCGCGUGGAGGAUGAAGGUCUUCGGAUUGUAAACUCCUGUCAUUGGGGAACAAUGCGUAAAUAUUAACUGUAUUUGCGUUGAUAGUACCCGAAGAGGAAGAGACGGCUAACUCUGUGCCAGCAGCCGCGGUAAUACAGAGGUCUCAAGCGUUGUUCGGAUUCAUUGGGCGUAAAGGGUGCGUAGGCGGCGCGGUAAGUCGGGUGUGAAAUCUCGGAGCUUAACUCCGAAACUGCAUUCGAUACUGCCGUGCUUGAGGACUG